This 208-nucleotide ribosomal RNA is filed under the name uncultured bacterium. RNAcentral describes it as "partial 16S ribosomal RNA". It matches the Rfam family "Bacterial small subunit ribosomal RNA", at positions 568 to 774 of the family's 1533-position model. The record is from RNAcentral.
CUCGUAGGCGGACCUGUGUGUCUUGCGUGAAAUCUCCACCGCUUACCGGGGAGGGUGCGCAGGAAACUGCAAGUCUUGAGUAUGAUAGAGGGUCGCGGAAUUUCGGGUGUAGCGGUGGAAUGCGUAGAUAUCCGAAGGAACACCGGUGGCGAAGGCGGCGGCCUGGAUCAAUACUGACGCUGAGGAGCGAAAGCUAGGGUAGCAAACG